This 252-nucleotide ribosomal RNA is filed under the name uncultured bacterium. RNAcentral's name for it is "partial 16S ribosomal RNA". It matches the Rfam family "Bacterial small subunit ribosomal RNA", at positions 16 to 264 of the family's 1533-position model. The record is from RNAcentral.
AUCAUGGCUCAGAUUGAACGCUGGCGGCAGGCCUAACACAUGCAAGUCGAACGGUAGCACAGAGGAGCUUGCUCCUUGGGUGACGAGUGGCGGACGGGUGAGUAAUGUCUGGGAAACUGCCCGGUGGAGGGGGAUAACUACUGGAAACGGUAGCUAAUACCGCAUAACGUCGCAAGACCAAAGAGGGGGACCUUCGGGCCUCUUGCCAUCGGAUGUGCCCAGAUGGGAUUAGCUAGUAGGUGGGGUAACGGG